This 433-nucleotide ribosomal RNA is filed under the name uncultured bacterium. RNAcentral's name for it is "partial 16S ribosomal RNA". It matches the Rfam family "Bacterial small subunit ribosomal RNA", at positions 29 to 507 of the family's 1533-position model. The record is from RNAcentral.
AACGAACGCUGGCGGCAUGCCCAACACAUGCAAGUCGAACGAGACCUUCGGGUCUAGUGGCGCACGGGUGCGUAACGCGUGGGAACCUGCCUUUAGGUUCGGAAUAACUCAGAGAAAUUUGAGCUAAUACCGGAUGAUGUCUUCGGACCAAAGAUUUAUCGCCUUUAGAUGGGCCCGCGUUGGAUUAGCUAGUUGGUGGGGUAAAGGCCUACCAAGGCGACGAUCCAUAGCUGGUCUGAGAGGAUGAUCAGCCACACUGGGACUGAGACACGGCCCAGACUCCUACGGGAGGCGGCAGUGGGGAAUAUUGGACAAUGGGCGAAAGCCUGAUCCAGCAAUGCCGGGUGAGUGAUGAAGGCCUUAGGGUUGUAAAGCUCUUUUACCCGAGAUGAUAAUGACAGUAUCGGGAGAAUAAGCUCCGGCUAACUCCGUG